Molecule: long non-coding RNA, 2085 nt
Organism: Cornus florida
Lineage: Eukaryota; Viridiplantae; Streptophyta; Magnoliopsida; Cornales; Cornaceae
Exons: 5
Source: RefSeq, a predicted model, not a curated record
CUAAAGAUCUUAUUAUUCGGGACGGGCAAAUUUUACCGUCCCUAAUAACAACCUUUACGGACGGUCAAUUUGAUACGUCACCAAACCUCAAAAACCCGUCCCUAAAAACGUUUCUUUUUGGCACAGUCUAUCUAAGACCGUCCCUAGUUCCACAAAAAAAAAAAAAAAUAGCGCCAAACUUAGUGCUUCAAUUUUCUUUUGUUUAGCGCUAUUGUACGCGGGCAAAAAUGAAACAUAUAAAAUUAUUUUAUUUUACAAAAUAGGGAAGCCCAUCAAACUACGUUGUUUUAAUCUAAAAAAAUUUAGUAAACCCUAUAUCAUUUGCAAACCUCUUACACCGUCACAAACCUCUUCAGUUCUUCGAUCUCAAAAGUUGCAGACGUCUUCCACCGGCACGAAAUCUGAAGACCAUACCUCUUAAUCAAACAUUCUUUGGGCUUGAUUUUCACCGAAUUCAAUAGCACCUAUUCAAAGCGUCUUCAAUCUUUAGCGAAUCACAAGAUCAUAAUCCUGAGGUACAACGUUUUUAUUUUUUAAAAAAUUUAGGGAUUAUUCAAAUUUGAGCCUCUUUCUUCGAUUUUCAGAAAACCUCCAUGUUCGAUUUGACGUUCAUAUAACCCACUUGGGUUUCAUGAUCCUCACCCUAGUUUUUUCUAGGGUUUCGAAAUUGCAAAAGGCCUAACAAUUGAAGGGGUAAAUUACAAAUCUAGAAAAGGCUUGUCGUUUGAGUCUGAAUCGCUGCAGAAAAUCAUACAGGAGCUGCUCUUACUUAAGAAGAUGAGAAGAAAAUUGCCCCUUUCUGACUAUCCCUUUUCUUCAAGAAGCUUGUACUUUGCUUUCUUUUGUUAUAGCUUGUGGAGAGUGCAUUAAUAUGAAAGUGGACAGAUGAUCAACGUCAUCGCCUGUUUCUCGGCUUCCACUAGAGUAACAAAAAACAAUAGUCUGAAAGGAAGGUAUCUAUAGAAGUAGACUGAAAAGAAUGAUAAUGACAGAUAAGUCACAUAAUUCUAAUGCCUCUUUGUUCUUGCGUAGAAGUCUUUAUAUUGACUUAAUGGAAUUCAACUUUAGAGGUCAAUCAGAUGUGUUUGAUAAUGGGUCAUCCGGAGAUAAUUCUGAGGAUUCAAUGUUUGAUAUUGAGAACCCUAAAAGGUCUGAGCUAUCAAUUUAGCAUCCAAGAUCAAAUGUGCAUCAAGACAAUGACUCUCAUGGGCUUUUGAAUGAGCAACCCUUCAAGCCUAUUCUUUAUUUGGAAAAAGAUGUACCAAACCUUGACCACGAAGAAUAUCCAUUUCCAGGAAAGGGCUUGAGCAUGACUUAGGACAGGUUAUACACCUAAUUUAUUUAUUUAUUUAUUUUGUUUAUACUCAUGUCAAAUACUUGUAAUUUUUUUUUAAUACAGAAAAUUAAAAAAUUACCAGGUUAAGAGAUCAGGUUUUUUGUUUUAGGGUUGGAAACUUCUUGAUAUGAUGUUCGCUACAAGGCACAGCAUAUCUGAUGCAUGCACUUCUAUAGCUAAACAGCUUGAGAAUGUUUACUCAUCGGUUUCGGUAAGUUUAUUUCCUCACAACUAGUCCGUCAUUAAUUAUCAUGUUAAGGCUAAUACUUAAUAAAACAGUUCUAGUAAAUGAUGAAAUUAUUUAUGCAACAACAUCCCCUCAAUAUUCACAUGUCAUAAGGAAAAUGAUGUUUGUUGAUAGUGUUCUAUGUUAUGUGUUGCUCUGAUGUACUAGAGAUAGGUAGCUCAGCUCAGUUUAUCCUUUGUGAUAUGAUUCCGGUCCAGAAUAUAGUAGGUCCUCCGCUAAGCGUGGGAAGCACCUUUGGGUUGGAAGAGAAGGUAGAUACAAUUCAGAAGCUACUUGAGUAGCAACAGCAGCUGCAGCAACAACAUUUUCAUGACUGCAUUCAGUUUAAAAUGAUGUUUUAAUUUUUGAGGAUGUUUGAAACCAUUUGAUGUUAAAACAGCUAGUAGAUACUUUUUAGUUCUUGUUUACAAAACUGGAGAAUUUGUAACUUCUUCGUGAGAUUAAGAGCUCGUUUGUUGGCAUUGUAUUGUGGUGAUAAUAUAUAUUUUUCUUUCUCGAAUGA